AACGCGAAGAACCUUACCUGGACUAGAAUGUGAGGGAAUGUUGGGUAAUACCAUCAGUCUGGGAAACCAGACCCAAAACAAGGUGCUGCAUGGCUGCCGUCAGCUCGUGUCGUGAGAUGUUGGGUUAAGUCCCGCAACGAGCGCAACCCUUAUCAACAGUUGCCAUCAUUAAGUUGGGAACUCUGUUGAGACUGCCGUUGAUAAAACGGAGGAAGGUGGGGAUGAUGUCAAGUCAUCAUGGCCUUUAUGUUCAGGGCUACACACGUGCUACAAUGGCCGGUACAAAACGUCGCAAUCUCGCGAGAGUAUGCUAAUCCCAAAAAGCUGCCUCAGUUCGGAUUGUACUCUGCAACUCGAGUACAUGAAGCUGGAAUCGCUAGUAAUCGCGGAUCAGCACGCCGCGGUGAAUACGUUCCCGGGUCUUGUACACACCG
Molecule: ribosomal RNA, 434 nt
Filed under: uncultured bacterium
Lineage: Bacteria
Description: bacterial SSU rRNA
Rfam family: Bacterial small subunit ribosomal RNA
Source: RNAcentral